UCUCGCCGGUGCUGCUGUCGUUGAUAUGUCACCUCGCCGGAGCUUCGAGCUCUCUUGCCAUGCGUGUCGUCCCUGCUCCAAAUGAGCAGAGGUUUGGUAUCAAGAGCUCGAGAAUUGAAGUGAAGCAAGAUUAUGAUGUCGUCCUAGAUUAAGGAUUGAGCUUGUAUCUAGUUAGUUGAUUGGAUAAUAGUUUAUGAUAUUUCGUUGUAUAAUAUUUGGGAAUUUUAGUUCAGUUAUUGGUGUAUUUAAGGAUGUUUUUCCGCUGCGAUUUUAUUUAAUUAAGAGUUAAUUAUUGGUUA
Molecule: long non-coding RNA, 299 nt
Organism: Beta vulgaris subsp. vulgaris (sugar beet)
Lineage: Eukaryota; Viridiplantae; Streptophyta; Magnoliopsida; Caryophyllales; Amaranthaceae
Exons: 2
Source: RefSeq, a predicted model, not a curated record